RNAcentral lists this unclassified non-coding RNA (379 nucleotides) under soil metagenome. RNAcentral describes it as "partial contains 5.8S ribosomal RNA, internal transcribed spacer 2, and large subunit ribosomal RNA". The stretch from base 1 to 120 matches the Rfam family "5.8S ribosomal RNA", at positions 35 to 154 of the family's 154-position model. The record is from RNAcentral.
GAUGAAGAACGUAGCGAAAUGCGAUAAGUAAUGUGAAUUGCAGAAUUCAGUGAAUCAUCGAAUCUUUGAACGCACCUUGCACCCUUUGGCAUUCCGAAGGGUAUGCUCGUUUGAGUGUCAUUGUACUCUCACACUUCCAAUCUUUGGAUUGGGAGCAGUGGACUUGGGUGUUGCUGCUUACUGUGGCUCACCUCAAAUCGAUUCGUGCACCUCUUGGUUGGACAUAGUACGGCGUGAUAAGUGUCUUCGCCGGCACCUCAGUAGAGGGUGGCUGAUCAGGAGCUCUGUGCUUCAAACCGUCCUCGGACAAAAACUGACAACUUGACCUCAAAUCGAGUAGGACUACCCGCUGAACUUAAGCAUAUCAAUAAGCGGAGGA